This 74-nucleotide transfer RNA is filed under the name Gordonia phage Sixama. RNAcentral describes it as "tRNA-Lys". It matches the Rfam family "tRNA". Rfam says of the family: Transfer RNA (tRNA) molecules are approximately 80 nucleotides in length. The record is from RNAcentral. Lineage: Duplodnaviria; Heunggongvirae; Uroviricota; Caudoviricetes.
GCCUCCGUAGCUGAGAUGGCUUUAGCACCUGGCUCUUACCCAGGGGACGCGGGUUCGAAUCCUGCCGGGGGUAC